Non-coding RNA from Podarcis lilfordi (Lilford's wall lizard), 71 nucleotides. The record is from the annotation of a GenBank genome assembly. Lineage: Eukaryota; Metazoa; Chordata; Lepidosauria; Squamata; Lacertidae.
UAUAGCUCAGUCGGUAAACACUGAGACUCUUAAUCUCAGGGAUGUGGGUUAGAGUCCCACAUUGGGCAAAA